CCAACCUCCAAGUCUAAGAUAAUAAAACAAGCAUACAUAGACAGACUAUUUCAUUUUGGAGGAAAGCACAAAGAGGUAAAGCAUUAAGGCAAGCAAAGAUUUUCAUUAUCCUCAUCAGAAAUGUCUCAUUCCAGUCUAUUAUUAAACUUAUGGCUAACUUCUCAAUUGCAUUACAGAAAAAGCAUGGAUAUAACUAUUAAAUUCAAGCUACCGAGUCAAAUAAUGGAAAUACAGCUCAAGAGUGAAGAUUAACAAUUAAUAGGCACUUUGAAGAGGAUUCACUUUAGUCUUCCUUGUGGUAUCCAACAAAGGGAGACCACAGUCACUGAUAGAAGACUGCUGUCUUGUAUGUUUUUAAAUCAACAGAAUGACUAGAGUGGAUAUAUGGACAUCUGCUCAUUUAAUCAAAAGAAUUUUCCUGUAGAUAUCAGAGGCAUUAUGUUCUUCCACCACUGGAAACAAAUCUAUGAAACAAACCAUGAUUAACCACCAAACUAAGCCAUGCACCUAUCAAAAAGUGAUAAAAUACAGUGGCAAGAAAAGUAGUGAAAUAAAAACAUAGGGUACUGAAAAUGGGGCAAAUGUGCAAAUAAAUUUUGGGGAGUUAAACUAGUUAUCACAUACCCUUUCCAAAAUUCAGACAACCCUAGUUAAUACCAUUGAGGAUGGCAACAACUUUAUCUAGAACAAUCUGGAGAAGCAUUCAUGGAAACUAGCAGUGGCAAUGUCUCUUGAAUAAAAGCCUAAAGAAUUCUGAAUAAAAUCUGUGCACACACCCUCAAGUUAUCUCACGUAUAUUAUAAAACACUUACCAUUUCAUAGCACUUCUACUCCUCCUCAUUGUUUUCAUGUAAAUAAGUGACAUUAUUUUGCAAUGUGAAAUUUCUAACUUUUUUCCAAUGUUUACAAAAAUAAAUCUUUUUUUAAAAAUAUAGCUCAAGAGUGUAAAUCUGUUCUUUUUCCUGAAUAUUAUUGAUUUAUUAAAGAAAGGUUACCAUACCAGUUGUUUUGCAACACAAGUGAUUUCUCGGCUGAAAACUACUUUUCACAACCCUCCCUCCCCACACACACAUACUUGUAGAAUAUGUUAUUAAGUCUAGCGGAUUGUCACAAUAAGUUAUAGAGGUCAGUCUGGCCAUAGUGGGGGAGCAGGGAGACUAAUGUAUUUUAGAAAGACAUUCCAAGUUACUGUUUAACACCAUUCAACAUGUACAGAAAAAGGUUAAUACUGAUAAAAAUAGUAUUAUAAUUUAUUCUUCUAAUUAUAGGUUAUCACAAACAAUCAUUUGAUUUUACUGAAUUUACAAAGAUAAAAUUAUUUUCACAUAUACGAUACUAGUGGAAUAUGAGCUCACAUGCUUUCUUUUGAUUAGUUAUUUAAUUAAAUGAAAAUUUCAAGCUAAUUAAGGAAAUUCCUAAGAAAUCUCUUUUUGUGAACCAGUGACAUCUUUUAAAACAUAGUAAACAAGGGAGAUAUGGCCAGCUUGGCACUGCUACAAAGGCAGUUUGAUGUGGACAUUUUAAUUUCAGGGCAUACACAACAAAUUUGAGGCAUUUGAGCAAGUUAUUCCAACUUGUUCUUUGAUAGAAUGUUUGAUAGGAGUCUUUAAUUACAAACAUAUACAAAUGGAAGGUGGUAAAUCUAGAAACCGUGUCAUUUCAAAGACCAGAACACCUCCCCCCUGUGCAAGUACAGACAUGACUGUUAUCUCAAGAAAAUACACUUUUUAAGAUGUUUAUAUUUUAGAGAGAGACUGGUUGUGUAAAAGAAUGUGGGCAUGUUCUUUAUUUAGGAUACUCAAAAGAGGAGAGAUCCUUAGGAUGUGUUUUCAGAGCUAUAACCUAAAUCACCCCCCUCCUUUGCAAAGAAAAAUCUUUAUUUUAAACCCACACAAAGAAUUUUAGAAAUAUCCUUGUUGAAACUGAUUUAUUUAAUAAACAUUCUGAAGUCUUCAUUCUUCAAAAGUUAAGGAAAACAUUUAUUGAUGGGAAGUAUUUUGCAGAAUAUAUUGGUUCCUUCAACACACAAAUGAAAGCUUUUGUUUUCCCUCAAAUGCUUCAAAUGGUAAAAGCUUCUUCUGAGAUGUAUAUCUGUGAAUAUUUUAUACCUACAGUAGAAUCUCAGAGUUAUGGAAAUGAGAGUUACAAACUGACCAGUCAACCAUACAACUCAUUUGGAACUGGAGGUAUACAAUCAAGCAGCAAAGCAAAGCAAAAGCAAAAGGAAAAAGCAAAUACUGUACAGUACAGUACUAUGUUAAAUGUAAACUACUAAGGAAAAGUUGAAAAAAAUAUUUGACAAGGUAAGGAAACCAUUACUGUACUUGUUUCAUUUAAAUUAAGAUGGUUAAAAUCAGCAUUUUCUUCUGCACAGUAAAGUUUCAAAGCUGUAUUAAGUAUUAUGUCAAUGUUCAGUUGUAAAUUUUUGAAACCAUAAGGUUUGUUCUCAGUUACAAACAUUUCAGAGCGAUGAACAAUCUCCAUUCCUGAAGUGUUUGUAACCCUGGGGUUCUACUGCAAAUGCAAGUCUUCAUAUAAUAACACUCUGAUAUCAGUAUCUGAAUAUUAAUAUACUUUAUGAACAUAGGAAGCUUGUUUGAUGUUAUAACUCAAUAAUAAUGUAAGAAGCCAUGUGAACAUGAAAUACAUAUAUGAAUUGGAGAAUUAACUAGUUAUCUGGCAACUUUUAAGCAACUUCUUUACCAAACUCAGGAAGAGAAGAAAAUCCUCCCCUCCCCCAAGAUUAGAUUGAUAAGAAGAGAACACAUUCUCUGAUGACAAGUUAAGUUUAAAGACGCUCUUUAAGGAUAACUUAUAUUUAAACAGACCAUUUUAAGAGCUGAAAGAUCUUUUUAUAGGACAUAGGAGCAUUUGGGCUCACUUGAAUUUCAACUCACAUUACACCCUAAAAGAACCAAAGGGAUCUCUCAGAAAAUAAACUGAACAGAGUAAAAACUCCAUCUUCAAAGAUGUUCUAAGGAAUUCCCACCAAAAAGACAAAGGCAAUAUAAUCCUAAAGUUGAAGAAUUACAAUCCUGAUGCAUAUGCAUUAGGAGAUUGCAUAUUCAUAAGCUGAAGAUGCCACCAAGAUCAUCUCCUGAAGCAGUCAAACAAAUGAAAGGUGACAGAAGCUGGUAUAUUAAUUUACUGGACCUCUUGAAAUGUGUGUCUUUCUCCUUCAGUGAGACUGUGGAAUAAGUAUAUAUUCCUCUCAAUUGAGACAUGCACUCCUAUGCUUAUAUGUUUUUAUUUUCUAAUCCCUAAUCGUAUUAUAUUUACACAUACUGCUUAUAAAGUCACACACUCUUACACACACUUAAACUCUCAGCACUCAUCUUGGCACACCCUGUUCAUCUCAUCACAUCUUUAAAACAAACCCUCGAUAAGCAAGCAAACAGCAGCAACAAGACAGAAAGAAAGAAGCCAGUACAUUGAAUCAACACCACCUUCCAAACCCAGCACUUCUUCACCAUGACUCCAUUACUGAAACUUCAGCAUCACUUGCGAGAGGAAGUUUGCAAAAGCACUGCCUAGAGAUUAGAUUUAAUAUUUCUUGUUAAUUUUAAUGGAAUACUGAAGUGCUACUGUAAUUUAAGGUAUUCCCAGCUUCUCCUGUAAAAAAAAAACAGAUUAUUUAGACUAUGUACUCCUGGGGAGGAGACAUGCUAAUCUUGGUAAACAAAUGAAUAGUGGGAUUUAAUUUGAAGGUAAAAUUCUUAAUAUUUAAUUUGCGUGCCUCAAGACUGGUCCUUAAAUGGCUUCUUUUCAGUAAGAAUUAAAACCUUCUUCAGUUUAAUAGAAUUUAGUUAAAAUCACUUACAUUUGCCCAUUUAUAAACUGUUUAAAUUAUCCAUACUAAACCAAAUAAGAUUCACCAACCUUUCAAACAAAGUUUCAUUGCCCAACUAUAACAUGUUUUAUUUAUUAAUGAUCAAUUAAUACAGGACUCUGCUGAUCUUGGGAAUAAUGUACUUUGCUCUUAUCUCAACUAGAGAAGAUAGUGCCCACCAGAGCAGAUCUUCUCUUGAGGUGUAAUCUCUGUUGAAAGAUCUCCACAGAGAGACAUACAGAAGAGCCUGUAGUGGAAGUAACCAUUGUUUAUUGCUUGUGUUCUGUUUUUGUUUCAUUUUGUUCAAUUAUUGUCUUCCUUUCUUUCUCUUUCUUUAUAAUAAAAUAGUCACAGUCUG
Dermochelys coriacea (leatherback sea turtle) is the source of this 4187-nucleotide long non-coding RNA. RefSeq lists it as uncharacterized. The transcript has 2 exons. The record is from RefSeq and is a predicted model, not a curated record. Lineage: Eukaryota; Metazoa; Chordata; Testudines; Dermochelyidae.